UUUAAACCCAAAGAAUUUGGCGGUACUUUAUUCCAUUCAGAGGAACCUACCCCGUGAUUGAUAGUACACGAUUAACUUUACUUAAUUUAUUUGUUUGUAUAUCUCCGUUAUCAGAAAAUCUUUUUAGAGAUGAAAUUUUCAUAAUUUAUGAUUAUAAAGUAUUUCAGGUCAAGGUGCAGUUUAUAAUUAAGAGGAGGUGGGUUACUAAUAAAUUUUUGUUUAUUACGGCUAUUUUAAUGAAAUAUUAAAAAUUAAGGUGGAUUUGAUAGUAAAUUAAUUAAUUUAAUUUAAUUGAUAUG
Molecule: ribosomal RNA, 299 nt
Filed under: Betiscoides sp. B129_li_34
Lineage: Eukaryota; Metazoa; Arthropoda; Insecta; Orthoptera; Lentulidae
Description: partial 12S ribosomal RNA
Source: RNAcentral